CUGGAGGCUAAGGAAACAGAGUCCUUAAAGUCAAGCUGGCUCUGCUUUUAACCUCCUAAAUGGAAACGUAGAUAGAACAGGUCUUGUUUGCAAAAUAAAUGCAAGACCUACUUAUCUAUCAACAGCA
Molecule: non-coding RNA, 127 nt
Organism: Aotus nancymaae (Ma's night monkey)
Lineage: Eukaryota; Metazoa; Chordata; Mammalia; Primates; Aotidae
Source: Ensembl